This is a non-coding RNA of Podarcis lilfordi (Lilford's wall lizard), 79 nucleotides long. The record is from the annotation of a GenBank genome assembly. NCBI's taxonomy places the organism in Eukaryota, Metazoa, Chordata, Lepidosauria, Squamata, Lacertidae.
GCUGGAUAGCUCACUUGGUUAGAGCGUGGUGCUGAUCACACCAAGGUGGCAGGUUCGAUCCCCGUAUGGGACAGCUGCA